This 1165-nucleotide ribosomal RNA is filed under the name Microbacterium sp. Its description in RNAcentral is "bacterial SSU rRNA". It matches the Rfam family "Bacterial small subunit ribosomal RNA", at positions 38 to 1217 of the family's 1533-position model. Lineage: Bacteria; Bacillati; Actinomycetota; Actinomycetes; Micrococcales; Microbacteriaceae. The record is from RNAcentral.
GGCGGCGUCUUACACAUGCAGUCGAACGGUGAACACGGAGCUUGCUCUGUGGGAUCAGUGGCGAACGGGUGAGUAACACGUGAGCAACCUGCCCCUGACUCUGGGAUAAGCGCUGGAAACGGCGUCUAAUACUGGAUAUGUGACGUGACCGCAUGGUCUGCGUUUGGAAAGAUUUUUCGGUUGGGGAUGGGCUCGCGGCCUAUCAGCUUGUUGGUGAGGUAAUGGCUCACCAAGGCGUCGACGGGUAGCCGGCCUGAGAGGGUGACCGGCCACACUGGGACUGAGACACGGCCCAGACUCCUACGGGAGGCAGCAGUGGGGAAUAUUGCACAAUGGGCGAAAGCCUGAUGCAGCAACGCCGCGUGAGGGAUGACGGCCUUCGGGUUGUAAACCUCUUUUAGCAGGGAAGAAGCGAAAGUGACGGUACCUGCAGAAAAAGCGCCGGCUAACUACGUGCCAGCAGCCGCGGUAAUACGUAGGGCGCAAGCGUUAUCCGGAAUUAUUGGGCGUAAAGAGCUCGUAGGCGGUUUGUCGCGUCUGCUGUGAAAUCCCGAGGCUCAACCUCGGGCCUGCAGUGGGUACGGGCAGACUAGAGUGCGGUAGGGGAGAUUGGAAUUCCUGGUGUAGCGGUGGAAUGCGCAGAUAUCAGGAGGAACACCGAUGGCGAAGGCAGAUCUCUGGGCCGUAACUGACGCUGAGGAGCGAAAGGGUGGGGAGCAAACAGGCUUAGAUACCCUGGUAGUCCACCCCGUAAACGUUGGGAACUAGUUGUGGGGUCCAUUCCACGGAUUCCGUGACGCAGCUACGCAUUAAGUUCCCCGCCUGGGGAGUACGGCCGCAAGGCUAAAACUCAAGGAAUUGACGGGGACCCGCACAAGCGGCGGAGCAUGCGGAUUAAUUCGAUGCAACGCGAGAACCUUACCAAGGCUUGACAUAUACGAGAACGGGCCAGAAAUGGUCAACUCUUUGGACACUCGUAACAGGUGGUGCAUGGUUGUCGUCAGCUCGUGUCGUGAGAUGUUGGGUUAAGUCCCGCAACGAGCGCAACCGUCGUCUAUGUUGCCAGCACGUAAUGGUGGUACUCAUGGGAUACUGCUGGGGAUCAACUCGAGGAAGGUGGGAUGACGUCCGAAUCAUCAUGCCCCUUUAUGGUCUUGGGGCCUUC